AGCAGCCGCGGUAAUUCCAGCUCCAAUAGCGUAUAUUAAAGUUGCUGCAGUUAAAAAGCUCGUAGUUGAAUUUCGGGACUAAUAUGUCGGUCGUGCCUCGGUACGUACUGGUUUAUUGGUUUCUCCUUUCUGAAGAACCAUGAUGUCAUUUAUUUGGUGUCGUGGGGAAUCAGGACUGUUACUUUGAAAAAUUAGAGUGUUUAAAGCAGGCUCACGCUUGAAUACAUUAGCAUGGAAUAAUGAAAUAGGACGUUUGAUUCUAUUUUGUUGGUUUCUAGGAUCGACGUAAUGAUUAAUAGGGAUAGUUGGGGGCAUUAGUAUUCAAUUGUCAGAGGUGAAAUUCUUGGAUUUAUUGAAGACUAACUACUGCGAAAGCAUUUGCCAAGGAUGUUUUCAUUAAUCAAGAACGAAAGUUAGGGGAUCGAAGACGAUCAGAUACCGUCGUAGUCUUAACCAUAAACUAUGCCGACUAGGGAUCGGAUGAUGUUAAUUUUUUAAUGUACUCAUUCGGCGCCUUAAC
RNAcentral lists this small RNA (520 nucleotides) under uncultured Glomus. RNAcentral describes it as "SSU rRNA". It matches the Rfam family "Eukaryotic small subunit ribosomal RNA", at positions 569 to 1092 of the family's 1831-position model. The record is from RNAcentral. Lineage: Eukaryota; Fungi; Glomeromycota; Glomeromycetes; Glomerales; Glomeraceae.